RNAcentral lists this ribosomal RNA (276 nucleotides) under uncultured bacterium. Its description in RNAcentral is "partial 16S ribosomal RNA". It matches the Rfam family "Bacterial small subunit ribosomal RNA", at positions 557 to 828 of the family's 1533-position model. The record is from RNAcentral.
GGCGUAAAAGCGAGCGCAGGCGGUUUCUGUAAGUCUGAUGUGAAAAUCCCCCGGGCUCAACCUGGGAAUGUCAUUGGAAACUGGGAGACUAGAGUGCGUAAGAGGAGAGUGGAAUUCCAUGUGUAGCGGUGAAAUGCGUAGAUAUGUGGAGGAACACCGAUGGCGAAGGCGGCUCCCUGGGACGAGACUGACGCUCAUGCUCGAAAGCGUGGGGAGCAAACAGGAUUAGAUACCCUGGUAGUCCACGCCCUAAACGAUGACUGCUAAUUGUUGGAG